Molecule: long non-coding RNA, 5454 nt
Organism: Oncorhynchus tshawytscha (Chinook salmon)
Lineage: Eukaryota; Metazoa; Chordata; Actinopteri; Salmoniformes; Salmonidae
Source: Ensembl
UUAACAAUAAUAGCAAAAGUUUUUAUUGUCACACAAACAAGUACAGUGAAAUGCCUUUCUUGCUUGCUCUUAGCAAGAAUGCAUUAAUCAAUAUCAGUAGUACUAUAAAAUAUUUAUAAAAAGUCUUACUUAGAACAAAAAUAAAACAAAAACACAAAAGAAAUUGAAAUAUGAAGAACAAGAGAAAGUAAGCUUUACUGAACAAAAAUAUAAACGCAACACAACAAUUUCACUGAUUUUACUGGAGUUACAGUUCAUAUCAGAAAAUCAUUCAAUUGAAAUCCAUUCAUUAGGCCCUAAUCUAUGGAUUUCACAUGACUGAGCAAGGGUGCAGCCACGGCUGGGCCUGGGAGGGUAUAGGCCCACCCCACUUGGGAGCCAGGCCAACCCACUGAGGAGCCAGGCCCAGCCAAUCCUAAUUAGUAUUUCCCCAUAAAAGUGCUUUUGUACAGACAGAAAUGCUCCUCAGUUUCAUCAGCUGUCCGGUGGCUGGUCUCAGAUGAUCCUUGAGAGGAAUAAGCUUUUUGUGCUUGUGGAACAUUUCUGGGAUCUUUUGUUUCAGCUCAUUAAACAUGGGACCAACACUUUACAUGUUGCGUUUCUAUUUUCUCUUUCAGUAUAUACACGUACAGGGUUAGUUCCAGGGUCAGUUUUCCAGCGUCAUAUUUACAAUGUGCAGGGAUACUGGAGUGGUAGGGUUAGACAUGUUUAGCGGUAAGGUGACAUAGAAUCGGGAUAUAUGGUAAACAGAGUAGCAGCAGCGUAUAUGAUGAUUGUAUGUGAGUGUGUGUGUGUGUGCGUGUACCAUACGUAGAGUCAGUAUGAAUGUGUGUGUGUGAGCAAAUUAAGUGUGUGUGUGUGUGCGUGCGUGCGUGUUUGUGUGUUGAGUGAGUGUGUGUGAGUGAGUGAGUGUGCAAUCAGUGCAAAACCCAAAAAAUGUAAUAGAAGGGUCAAUGCAGAUAGUCGAUGUAUCCAUUUGAUCUAUUUAGCAGUCUUAAGGCUUAGGGAUAGAAACUGUUCAGGAGCCUGUUGGUGUCAGACGUAGCUAGCUCUGGUACCACUUGCCGUGCAGAAGCGAAGAGAACAGUCUAUGGCUUGGGUGGAUGGAGUUUUUAACAAUUUUCCGGUCCUUUAUUUCACACCACCUGAUAUAGAGGUCCUGGAUGGCACGGAGUGCAGCCCCAGUGAUGUACUGGGAUGUCCGUACCACCCUCUGUAGCACCAUGCGAUCGAGGGAGGUGCAGUUGCCAUGCCAAGCAGUUAUGCAGCCAGUCAAGAUGCCCUUAAUGCUGCAACUGUAUAACUUUUUGAGGAUAUGAGGGCACAUACAAAAUCUUAAUAUUUACAUGAAUUCCGAUUAUUUCCAGGAAUACACAACAUCCUGAAAUAUAUGUAAAUGGUAUCUUUGUUAGAAAGAAUAUUAUUGUUCCCUUGACGGAUUGAUGCUGAACGUUAAAAAAAGUCUCAACUUACCCCACUCUCCUUUACACCAAAAGCCCUGAAAGAAGAAAAUGAAUCAGAUUAUCCCCACUCUUCCAUGAGAAGUUAACAUUACCAAGAACUCAGUCCUGAAAGGAAAAGUGUCUUUUAGUAUUUGUUUCAUUAGUUCACUGUUGAAACAGUCCCAAAAUGUUUUUCAUGUCAGCAAUCAAGUUUUCAAGAUAUAGAUCUUUCAAAAUACAGAUACUGUGACACUUUCUGCAUUUUGAAUGUUUUAUCUUGAAAACUGAUGUGCAAAACAUGUUUAACCGUUCUGAACUUGAUGACAGUUCUAAACAUGAUAUGAAGGCAUGGUGUGUGGGUGGAGACUAGAGAAUUAUUGAGGGAACACUGGAGAGCCUCUGUGUAUAACAAGUCCGGUAGAGGAUAUCCUGGAUAGAGGGUUUGGCCCGUGUCCUGAGCCUGUCGCAAAUAAAAAUAAAAAGUAUUAAUAACUCAUCAGAAGGAGCCCCACUUAAGUGCUGGGGAAGUUCUUUAAAUUAAAGACAAAACAAAAUGAACAGUUCAGUUUGUGUGUGCAUGCUCAUGGAUUUGUGUGAGUGUGUGCGAGAGAGAGAGCCGCUGCUGCUACAUGCUGUCUAUUAUCUAUGCAUAGUCACUUUGCCCCUGCCUACAUGUACAAAUUACCUUUAGUAACCUGCACCCCCGCACAUUGACUCAGUACCGGUACACCCUGUAUAUAGCCUCAGUAUUGUUAUUUUACUGUGUUACUUUUUAUUUAUUUAGUAAAUCAUUUCUUACCAUUUCACAGUAAGGUUGUAUUCGAAUGUGACGAAUACAAUUUUAUUUGAGUUUAUUUGAUUUUUGAGAGAGAGAGAGAGAGAGAGAGAGAGAGCGAGAGAGAGAGAGAGAUGGAGAAACCGAAAAAACAAUCCCUUGUCCAUACAAAGACAAAGACUUGGGCAGGCGUUUCAAACACUAAUUGAAUAAAUGAGCCCAGUGACAGUGUGAAAAGACACUGUGAAUGGAGCAGGGAAAGGUGGAUGGCAGUUAUUAUAUUUCCCUCUGGAGACUGGUGUUCCCAGAGGCUGUAAUUGAUUUAGAUGGAUCAGCAGUGGGGUUCCCACAGCCCGCAUCUGUUUGUUCUCCAACAGCAAACCCCAUUGAGCAGACUGGCCCUCUCCACAAACAACAGGGGUGAGAAAACAAAAAUAACUACAAAACCCGGGUGGAAGAGAGCAAAAGGACAUCAUUUGAUUGUUUUCCAGCCCCUCCCCACACUCCCUUAUUUUAAGGACCAGUAGACUUUAUUCUUAGGCCUCUGUUUAUUCUCAGGCCUCUAUUUGAGUCUUGUUUUACUGAGUUUUUACCUACAAUCCCAGUUAUAGCCUGUUAAAGUCUGACAUUUUCGACGUAGCUUUAAUAAAAAAGAAAUAAAGAAAUCUCAGAGCACAGUCAUUUCAAUGCAAAGGCAAACAGGGUCAACUCCCCAGUGAAUGAACAACAUUUUAAGUCACAAUUUGCAUUUGUUUCAUGUAAUAAUUUGUAUGAUAUUGAUUAAAUGAAGCCUGUGGUGCAUUGAUUAUGAAAGAACGGUGUGCAAUGUUGAACCUUCUUUUCCCACUUUGAGGAUAAUACAGUACCACCGACGAGGCCCGCUACCAAGGACUGUGGGCUCUCCUUCUCCGUGGACAACCUGAGUAAGACAUUUAAACGUGUAACCCUCACAGGGCUGCCGGCCCAGACGGCAUCCCUAGCCUCGUACUCAGAGCAUGCGCAGACCAGCUGGCUGGUGUGUUUAUGGACAUAUUCAAUCUCUCCCUAUCCCAGUCUGCUAUCCCCACAUGCUUCAAGAUGGCCACCAUUGUUCCUGUACCCAAGAAGUAAAGGUAACUGAACUAAAUGACUAUCUCUCCGUAGCACUCACUUCUGUCAUCAUGAAGUUCUUUGAGAGACUAGACAAGGAUCAUAUCACUUUACCUGUCACUCUAGACCCACUUCAAUUUGCUUUCCGCCCCAAUAGGUCCACAGACGAUGCAAUCGCCAUCACACUGGACACUGCCCUUUCCCAUCUGGACAAGAGGAAUAUCUAUGAAAGAAUGCUGUUCAUUGACUAUAGCUCAGCAUUCAACACCAUAGUACCCUCCAAGCUCAUCAUUAAGCUUGAGGCCCUGGGUCUCAACACUGGGCAAUUGGGUCCUAGACUUCCUGACGGGCCGCCCCCAGUUGGUGAAGAUAGGAAGCAACAUCUCCACUUUGCUGAUCCUCAACACUGGGGCCCCACAAGGGUGCAUGCUCAGCCCCCUCCUGUACUCCCUGUUCACCCAUGACUGCGAUUGGAGUAUCUGUCCAUUGGACCACUUUAAGCCGUAUACUCCAUAGAGCUGGGCUUUACGGAAGAGUGGCCGGAAAAAAGCCAUUGCUAAAAGAAAAAAAUAAACAAACACGUUUGGUGUUUAAAUCAAAUCAAAUCAAAUGUAUUUAUAUAGCCCUUCGUACAUCAGCUGAUAUCUCAAAGUGCUGUACAGAAACCCAGCCUAAAACCCCAAACAGCAAGCAAUGCAGGUGUAGAAGCACGGUGGCUAGGAAAAACUCCCUAGAAAGGCCAAAACCUAGGAAGAAACCUAGAGAGGAACCAGGCUAUGUGGGGUGGCCAGUCCUCUUCUGGCUGUGCCGGGUGGAGAUUAUGGCCAAGAUGUUCAAAUGUUCAUAAAUGACCAGCAUGGUCGAAUAAUAAUAAGGCAGAACAGUUGAAACUGGAGCAGCAGCACGAUCAGGUGGACUGGGGACAGCAAGGAGUCAUCAUGUCAGGUAGUCCUGGGGCAUGGUCCUAGGGCUCAGGUCCUCCGAGAGAGAGAAAGAAAGAGAGAAGGAGAGAAUUAGAGAACGCACACUUAGAUUCACACAGGACACCGAAUAGGACAGGAGAAGUACUCCAGAUAUAACAAACUGACACUAGCCCCACUGACACAUAAACUACGGCAGCAUAAAUACUGGAGGCUGAGACAGGAGGGGUCAGGAGACACUGUGGCCCCAUCCGAGGACACCCCCGGACAGGGCCAAACAGGAAGGAUAUAACCCCACCCACUUUGCCAAAGCACAGCCCCCACACCACUAGAGGGAUAUCUUCAACCACCAACUUACCAUCCUGAGACAAGGCUGAGUAUAGCCCACAAAGAUCUCUGCCAUGGCACAACCCAAGGGGGGGUGCCAACCCAGACAGGAUGACCACAUCAGUGAAUCAACCCACUCAGGUGACGCACCCCUUCCAGGGACGGCAUGAGAGAGCCCCAGUAAGCCAGUGAAUCAGCCCCUGUAAUAGGGUUAGAGGCAGAGAAUCCCUGUGGAAAGAGGGGAACCGGCCAGGCAGAGACAGCAAGGGCGGUUCGUUGCUCCAGAGCCUUUCCGUUCACCUUCCCACUUUUUAACUAAAGGCAUGAGGGAGACUCCCCAAACAUAUGGAAGAAGGUACUCUGGUCAGAUGAGACUAAAAUGUAGCUUUUUGGCCAUUAAGGAAAGCGCUAUGUCUGACGCAAACACACCUCUCAUCAUCCCGAGAAUACCAUCCCCACAGUGAAGCAUGGUGGUGGCAGCAUCAUGCUGUGGGGAUGUUUUUCAUAGGCAGGGACUGGGAAACUGGUUAGAAUUGAAGGAAUGAUGGAUGGCGUUAAAUACAGGGACAUUCUUGAGGGAAACCUGUUUCAGUCUUCCAGAGAUUUGAGACUGGGACAGAGGUUCACCAUCCAGCAGGACUGCUAAAGCAACACUUGAGUGGUUUAAGAGGAAACCUUUAAAAUGUCUUGGAAUGGCCAAUUGAGAAUCUGUGGUAUGACUUAAAGAGUGCUGUUCACCAGCAGAACCCAUCCAACUUGAAGGAGCUGGAGCAGUUUUGCCUUGAAGAAUACAUGCUCAAGUUUUUUGUUUUUUGUCUUAUUUUUUGUUUGUUUCACAGUAACAAAUAUUUUGCAUCUUCAAAGUGGUAGGCAUGUUGUGUAAAUCAAAUGUGCAACCCCC